AGCCCCGGAGCCCUUUAUGGGCUCAUUAUUAAACUUGCAUUUUAAUGUGAAUCACUUCGGGGCCUU
Molecule: transfer RNA, 66 nt
Filed under: Anolis chrysolepis (goldenscale Anole)
Lineage: Eukaryota; Metazoa; Chordata; Lepidosauria; Squamata; Anolidae
Description: tRNA-Cys
Source: RNAcentral